CUCUGUAGCUCAGUUGGUAGAGCAGCGGACUGAAAAUCCGCGUGUCACUGGUUCGAUUCCAGUCGGAGC
RNAcentral lists this transfer RNA (69 nucleotides) under uncultured Angelakisella sp. It matches the Rfam family "tRNA". From Rfam's summary of the family: Transfer RNA (tRNA) molecules are approximately 80 nucleotides in length. The record is from RNAcentral. Lineage: Bacteria; Bacillati; Bacillota; Clostridia; Eubacteriales; Oscillospiraceae.